This 977-nucleotide long non-coding RNA is filed under the name Parus major (Great Tit). Its description in RNAcentral is "lncRNA (ENSPMJG00000009626.1)". Lineage: Eukaryota; Metazoa; Chordata; Aves; Passeriformes; Paridae. The record is from RNAcentral.
CUCUUUAACCAUAUUUUGCUAGACAUGAACCAUAUCCUCCUCUAAGAAACUGUCAGAGCUCCAUAGUGGCUGGUGGUUGGGAAGUGAUUGAAAGUAUUCACCUCUUGCUCAUUUUAAAUGUUGGAUUUGGUUGGAAUUUGAGCAAAGCUGGGCAGUGGGUACAGCCCCAGCUUGCAGCAACAAGAAUGUUUCCAGAAGAAAAACAAAAAUUAUUAGUGAGUGAAGGACUUUUGGUUGGAAUUCCCUUUCCUUCCCUGCCCUGCUCAAAUUGGAUUACUUGCAGGAACAAAGGGAACAAGCAGCCCUGCUGCAGCAGACCAGUCCCAGGACUCCUUUCCUGGGUGCUGGAGGGAGAAUUUCCCUGGAGCUGGCUACAAGAAGGAAUGUCUGUACAGCCAUAUCUGGUAAUGUUCCUGAGCCUUACUGGGACCAUCCCUUUCCCUCCUCAGUCUGCAGGAGGGCCUGGGACAGGGAAUUUAGGUGGGCAAUGGAGUGGACAAGGUUUGUCAGCUCUGAGGAAAGUGCAUGGCCCAGGAGAGGCUGAAAAUGUUCAUGGUUUUCUUUCUGUAAAGAUUAAACUGAACUUCUUUGUGCAAAAAUUAAUGAUACUUAGUGCUGGGCUUGGUAGUGUUAGGUUAAUGUUUGGACUUGAUAAUCUUAAUUUUUUUUUUCCAAACCUAAAAUAUUCUGUGGUUCUAUAUGAUACAAGAGGACUGAAAUAUCUUUUAUUUUUCUCCCUAGCAAUCUUAUUAGCAGCAUUCAGCGAAGUGAACAUGUCCUCAGGGAUGCCCCAAGCAUGAACUCACAUCUGGGCAGUACCACCUCCAGGAUGGAGGGCACUGGGAGUCCUUCCUGGGGCUGUGGGGGUUUUUCAGGAUGUGCUGUUAUGCUUGUAGCUGUUGGGGAGUGGCUUCUCAGGAGGCUCCACCAGCCAUUUAUGAUGGGCUCAGCCACCUGAGCUUGCUGAGCCAGCCCUG